UCCCUGGUAGUCUAGUCACUAGGACUCUGUGCUUCCAAUGCAGGGGGCCCGGGUUCAAUCCCUGGCCAGGGAA
This is a non-coding RNA of Budorcas taxicolor (takin), 73 nucleotides long. The record is from the annotation of a RefSeq genome assembly. Lineage: Eukaryota; Metazoa; Chordata; Mammalia; Artiodactyla; Bovidae.